AAAACGCACCAGGGGUGUCUGCAUCUGCUUCAUUGCUGGCUGUUCGGCCGUGAUGUUAGCAGGUCAGGCUGAGAAAGUCCCUUUGAACCUGAACAGGAUAAUUCCUGCGUAGGGAGAGUGCAUUUUCUUUUCU
RNAcentral lists this non-coding RNA (133 nucleotides) under Olea europaea subsp. europaea. RNAcentral describes it as "TPP riboswitch aptamer (THI element)". It matches the Rfam family "TPP riboswitch aptamer (THI element)". Rfam says of the family: Vitamin B(1) in its active form thiamin pyrophosphate (TPP) is an essential coenzyme that is synthesised by coupling of pyrimidine and thiazole moieties in bacteria. The previously detected thiamin-regulatory element, thi box was extended, resulting in a new, highly conserved RNA secondary structure, the THI element, which is widely distributed in eubacteria and also occurs in some archaea. Analysis of operon structures identified a large number of new candidate thiamin-regulated genes, mostly transporters, in various prokaryotic organisms. The record is from Rfam by way of RNAcentral. Lineage: Eukaryota; Viridiplantae; Streptophyta; Magnoliopsida; Lamiales; Oleaceae.